This 462-nucleotide ribosomal RNA is filed under the name uncultured bacterium. RNAcentral describes it as "partial 16S ribosomal RNA". It matches the Rfam family "Bacterial small subunit ribosomal RNA", at positions 338 to 795 of the family's 1533-position model. The record is from RNAcentral.
CCUACGGGUGGCAGCAGUGAGGAAUAUUGGUCAAUGGACGCAAGUCUGAACCAGCCAAGUAGCGUGCAGGAUGACGGCCCUCCGGGUUGUAAACUGCUUUUAGUUGGGAAUAAAAGGGGGCUCGUGAGCCCCGUAUUGUAUGUACCAUCAGAAAAAGGACCGGCUAAUUCCGUGCCAGCAGCCGCGGUAAUACGGAAGGUCCGGGCGUUAUCCGGAUUUAUUGGGUUUAAAGGGAGCGUAGGCCGGCUUUUAAGUCAGCUGUGAAAGUCCGCGGCUCAACCGUGGAAUUGCAGUUGAAACUGGCAAACUGGAGUGUGUGAGAGGAUAGUGGAAUUCCAGGUGUAGGAGUGAAAUCCGUAGAUAUCUGGAGGAACAUCAGUGGCGAAGGCGACUAUCUGGCACAUAACUGACGCUGAGGAGCGAAAGCGUGGGUAGCAAACAGGAUUAGAUACCCGGGUAGUC